AUUGAACGCUGGCGGCAGGCCUAACACAUGCAAGUCGAGCGGAUGAAGGGAGCUUGCUCCUGGAUUCAGCGGCGGACGGGUGAGUAAUGCCUAGGAAUCUGCCUGGUAGUGGGGGAUAACGUCCGGAAACGGGCGCUAAUACCGCAUACGUCCUGAGGGAGAAAGUGGGGGAUCUUCGGACCUCACGCUAUCAGAUGAGCCUAGGUCGGAUUAGCUAGUUGGUGGGGUAAAGGCCUACCAAGGCGACGAUCCGUAACUGGUCUGAGAGGAUGAUCAGUCACCCUGAACCUGAGACCCGGUCCAGACUCCUAGGGGAGGCGGCGGUGGGAAAUAUUGGACAAUGGGCGAACGCCUGAUCCAGCCAUGCCGCGUGUGUGAAGAGGGUCUUCGGAUGGUAAAGCACUUUAAGUUGGAGGAAGGGCAGUAAGUUAAUACCUUGCUGUUUUGACGUUACCAACAGAAUAAGCACCGGCUAACUUCGUG
RNAcentral lists this ribosomal RNA (483 nucleotides) under uncultured bacterium. RNAcentral's name for it is "partial 16S ribosomal RNA". It matches the Rfam family "Bacterial small subunit ribosomal RNA", at positions 30 to 507 of the family's 1533-position model. The record is from RNAcentral.